GGGAUUGCCUCAGUAACGGCGAGUGAAGCGGCAACAGCUCAAAUUUGAAAUCUGGCCCCCUCGGGGUCCGAGUUGUAAUUUGUAGAGAGUGCUUCGGAGGAGACCGCGGUCUAAGUCCAUUGGAACAUGGCGUCAUAGAGGGUGAGAAUCCCGUAUGUGACUGUGGCUCGAACCCGUGUGAAGCCUCUUCGACGAGUCGAGUUGUUUGGGAAUGCAGCUCAAAAUGGGUGGUAAAUUUCAUCUAAAGCUAAAUACUGGCUGGAGACCGAUAGCGCACAAGUAGAGUGAUCGAAAGAUGAAAAGCACUUUGGAAAGAGAGUUAAAAAGUACGUGAAAUUGUUGAAAGGGAAGCGCUGGCAACCAGACCUGUCCGUAGGCGAUCAGCCGCUGUUCUCAGUGGUGCACUCGCUCUGCGAUCAGGCCAGCAUCGGUUUCGGCGGUCGGAUAAAGGCCUUGGGAAUGUAGCUUCCCCUCGGGGGAGUCUUAUAGCCCUCGGUGCAAUGCGGCCAGCCGGGACCGAGGACCGCGCUUCGGCUAGGAUGCUGGCGUAAUGGUUGUCAGCGACCCGUCUUGAAACACGGACCAAGGAGUCUAAUAUCUAUGCGAGUGUUUGGGUGUCAAACCCAUACGCGGAAUGAAAGUGAACGGAGGUGAGAACCCUUAAGGGCGCAUCAUCGACCGAUCCAGAUGUCUUCGGAUGGAUUUGAGUAUGAGCAUAAAUAUUGGGACCCGAAAGAUGGUGAACUAUGCCUGAAUAGGGUGAAGCCAGAGGAAACUCUGGUGGAGGCUCGCAGCGGUUCUGACGUGCAAAUCGAUCGUCAAAUUUGGGUAUAGGGGCGAAAGACUAAUC
This 850-nucleotide ribosomal RNA is filed under the name Melanelixia fuliginosa. Its description in RNAcentral is "eukaryotic LSU rRNA". It matches the Rfam family "Eukaryotic large subunit ribosomal RNA", at positions 71 to 936 of the family's 3401-position model. Lineage: Eukaryota; Fungi; Ascomycota; Lecanoromycetes; Lecanorales; Parmeliaceae. The record is from RNAcentral.